AUUGAACGCUGGCGGCAGGCCUAACACAUGCAAGUCGAGCGAGGGGCGGACGGGUGAGUAAUGUUUGGGAAACUGCAUGAUUGCGGGGGAUAAAUAAUGGAAACCGUAGCUAAACACGCAUAACAUUAGAUGUGCCCAGUUGGGAUUAGUGAGUGGGUGGGGUAACGGGCCACCUAGGCGACGAUCCCUAGCUGGUCUGGGUGGAUGACCAGCCACACUGGAAAUGAGACACGGUCCAGACUCCUACGGGAGUCAGCAGUGGGGAAUAUUGCACAAUGGGCGCAAGCCUGAUGCAGCCAUGCCGCGUGUGUGAAGAAGGCCUGCGGGUUGUAAAGCACUUUCGUCGGGGAGGCGUUACCCGAAGAAGAAGCACCGGCUAACUCCGUGCCAGCAGCCGCGGUAAUUC
RNAcentral lists this ribosomal RNA (406 nucleotides) under uncultured bacterium. RNAcentral describes it as "partial 16S ribosomal RNA". It matches the Rfam family "Bacterial small subunit ribosomal RNA", at positions 30 to 526 of the family's 1533-position model. The record is from RNAcentral.